AGCGAACGCUGGUGGCAGGCCUAAACAUGCAAGUCGAACGCCGUAGCAAUACGGAGUGGCAGACGGGUGAGUAAUACGUGGGAACGUACCCUUUGGUUCGGAACAACACAGGGAAACUUGUGCUAAUACCGGAUAAGCCCUUACGGGGAAAGAUUUAUCGCCGAAGGAUCGGCCCGCGUCUGAUUAGCUAGUUGGUGAGGUAACGGCUCACCAAGGCUACGAUCAGUAGCUGGUCUGAGAGGAUGAUCAGCCACACUGGGACUGAGACACGGCCCAGACUCCUACGGGAGGCAGCAGUUAGGAAUCUUGGACAAUGGGCGGCAAGCCUGAUCCAGCCAUGCCGCGUGAGUGAUGAAGGCCUUUAGGGUUGUAAAGCUCUUUCAGCGGGGAAGAUAAAUGACGGUACCCGCAGAAGAAGCACCGGCCAACUAC
Molecule: ribosomal RNA, 432 nt
Filed under: uncultured bacterium
Lineage: Bacteria
Description: bacterial SSU rRNA
Rfam family: Bacterial small subunit ribosomal RNA
Source: RNAcentral